Molecule: long non-coding RNA, 353 nt
Organism: Helianthus annuus (common sunflower)
Lineage: Eukaryota; Viridiplantae; Streptophyta; Magnoliopsida; Asterales; Asteraceae
Exons: 3
Source: RefSeq, a predicted model, not a curated record
CAAACUCACAGCCACCUUACGAACUCCUAUAAAUAACCCGACACCCUCAACCAUUUCGAUCACACCUACCACACUUCCCUCCCUUGGCCGGAAACCGCCGCUGAACCGCCGCUGAGUACGCCGGAGAACCGCCGGAGAAGACGACUCAGUUCCGGGUAAUUCUCUUGUGCACAUCCUCUUUGGAAAAUCCUUGAUUCUUAAUUCUAUUCCAAGAAAUACGCAACGCACUCUAAGGUUGAAUGAUCAAGAAAACAAGAAUCAAGCUAGGAUGGACAUUAGAAACCCACUUAGCAUUUUGAUUAUUGUUAAAUGUUAUGUUUAUUUAUUUGGAACUAUGUAUCCCAUUUUGAGAG